UCGUGAUCUUUUUAGCGAGCUUGAUAGAAAUGUUAAGCCUGUUGCACCGUUGCAGUUUUUAUCGGUUUUGAGGAAAAAAUAUCCUCAGUUUGCACAGCAGCAAAAUGGCGUCUAUAUGCAACAGGAUGCCGAAGAAUGUUGGACCCAACUUAUGUAUACACUUACUCAAUCUCUACAGUCAUCAGGAUCAAGUGAAGUGUCCAGCUCAGUGAAGACACUAUUUGGGAUUGACCUUGUCAG
This 240-nucleotide unclassified non-coding RNA is filed under the name Hevea brasiliensis (rubber tree). Lineage: Eukaryota; Viridiplantae; Streptophyta; Magnoliopsida; Malpighiales; Euphorbiaceae. The record is from RNAcentral.